This 103-nucleotide non-coding RNA is filed under the name Peptoniphilus sp. BV3C26. Its description in RNAcentral is "Clostridiales bacterium BV3C26 TPP riboswitch aptamer (THI element)". It matches the Rfam family "TPP riboswitch aptamer (THI element)". From Rfam's summary of the family: Vitamin B(1) in its active form thiamin pyrophosphate (TPP) is an essential coenzyme that is synthesised by coupling of pyrimidine and thiazole moieties in bacteria. The previously detected thiamin-regulatory element, thi box was extended, resulting in a new, highly conserved RNA secondary structure, the THI element, which is widely distributed in eubacteria and also occurs in some archaea. The record is from Rfam by way of RNAcentral. Lineage: Bacteria; Bacillati; Bacillota; Tissierellia; Tissierellales; Peptoniphilaceae. RNAcentral also lists the same sequence under 1 other name.
UAUAUAUAAACCGGGAGCUUGAUAACAGGCUGAGAGGGAACUGAGAGUUUCGACCGUACCUGAUUUGGAUAAUGCCAACGUAGGGAAAAAUUAGAAAUAAUAU